This 466-nucleotide ribosomal RNA is filed under the name uncultured bacterium. Its description in RNAcentral is "bacterial SSU rRNA". It matches the Rfam family "Bacterial small subunit ribosomal RNA", at positions 29 to 524 of the family's 1533-position model. The record is from RNAcentral.
AACGAACGCUGGCGGCAGGCCUAACACAUGCAAGUCGAACGAGUAAGAGCCGUAGCAAUACGGAGUUCUGCUAGUGGCGCACGGGUGAGUAACGCGUGGGAACGUGCCUUGGAGUUCGGGAUAACAGUUGGAAACGACUGCUAAUACCGAAUAUUCCCUCAGGGGGAAGGAUUUAUCGCUCCAAGAUCGGCCCGCGUAAGAUUAGGUAGUUGGUGGGGUAAUGGCCUACCAAGCCUACGAUCUUUAGCUGGUCUGAGAGGACGACCAGCCACACUGGAACUGAGACACGGUCCAGACUCCUACGGGAGGCAGCAGUGGGGAAUAUUGGACAAUGGGCGAAAGCCUGAUCCAGCCAUGCCGCGUGAAUGAUGAGGGCCUUAGGGUUGUAAAUUCUUUGCUAGGGGAAGAUAAUGACGGUACCCUGCGAAUAAGCUCCGGCUAACUUCGUGCCAGCAGCCGCGGUAAU